UGGUGUCUGUAGGGGCUCCAGCCGAUUAAACAGGAGCGGCCGCCAUGGCGCGGCACCGGCGGCCGGGGCCGUAGCGCCGCAGAGCUCAAAGACCACCCAUCCAGCUCGCUUUGGAGCCUGGCGCUUUUCCUGGCCUUUCUCGGGGUCGCUGCCGCUGUCACUGCCUGGGGAUACGCGAACUACCGAGGGACUCAGGCUAGGGCUCAGAGGGAGGAAAUGCUGAAGUCUUUGGGGACAGAAGGCCAAUAUAUUUUCUCCUCCCUGGACACUGACAGGGACCUGUCCAUCAGCCCAGAGGAGUUCAAGCCCAUUGCUAAGAACCUGAGGGGAAUCAAGAGAGACUAGCAAUGGAUGGAUGUCGAACAUUAGAGAACAGGAAACACUGUCACAUCACCUUAAUGGAAAGCCUCGGUUUCCCAUUGGAGGAAUAUCCCAGCUCCCCAAGGGCAGGGAGAAGACUCCUGAAAAGCUCUCUGGACCUGGAAAAGUACUACAUAAAUGCUGGAAAUCAUUAUUGAUGGUCACUAUCCCCAAUGAGAUCAAUAAUUAUUGAAUAACCAAGGCAAACUAAUGACUGAGAUGCUUCAGAUUCCCAGAGCUCAUUUUGUCACAGGUUUGGAUAUAAUCUCAGCUGCUCUCCCAAAAUGGAAUUUCAGAUACUUUUAUGGCUACAAUAUGCAAUGUGUAAAUAAUAAAGGUUUUUGAAGUGAGAUAA
Molecule: RNA transcript, 715 nt
Organism: Monodelphis domestica (gray short-tailed opossum)
Lineage: Eukaryota; Metazoa; Chordata; Mammalia; Didelphimorphia; Didelphidae
Gene name: selenoprotein N-like
Source: RefSeq, a predicted model, not a curated record